Molecule: ribosomal RNA, 348 nt
Filed under: uncultured eukaryote
Lineage: Eukaryota
Description: SSU rRNA
Rfam family: Eukaryotic small subunit ribosomal RNA
Source: RNAcentral
AUAGCGUAUAUUAAAGUUGUUGCAGUUAAAAAGCUCGUAGUUGAACUUCAGACCUGGCUGGAUGGUCUGCCUAACGGUAUGUACUGUCCGGCUGGGCCUUACCUCUUGGUGAGCCGGCAUGCCCUUCACUGGGUGUGCUUUGGGGAACCAGGACUUUUACCUUGAGAAAAUUAGAGUGUUCAAAGCAGGCUUAUGCUCGAAUACAUUAGCAUGGAAUAAUAAAAUAGGACGUGCGGUUCUAUUUUGUUGGUUUCUAGAGUCGCCGUAAUGAUUAAUAGGGAUAGUCGGGGGCAUCAGUAUUCAAUUGUCAGAGGUGAAAUUCUUGGAUUUAUUGAAGACUAACUACUG